UACGUAGGGACCAAGCGUUGUUCGGAUUUACUGGGCGUAAAGGGCGCGUAGGCGGCCUGUUAAGUCGAACGUGAAAUCCCUGGGCUCAACCCAGGAACUGCGUCCGAUACUGGCAGGCUUGAAUUCGGGAGAGGGAUGCGGAAUUCCAGGUGUAGCGGUGAAAUGCGUAGAUAUCUGGAGGAACACCGGUGGCGAAGGCGGCAUCCUGGACCGAUAUUGACGCUGAGGCGCGAAAGCCAGGGGAGCAAACGGG
This 253-nucleotide ribosomal RNA is filed under the name uncultured bacterium. RNAcentral's name for it is "partial 16S ribosomal RNA". It matches the Rfam family "Bacterial small subunit ribosomal RNA", at positions 524 to 776 of the family's 1533-position model. The record is from RNAcentral.